CUGACGCUCAUGCACGAAAGCGUGGGGAGCAAACAGGAUUAGAUACCCUGGUAGUCCACGCCGUAAACGAUGUGCACUAGAUCGGUGCGGGUCUGACCCCGUGCUGGUCGGAGAGAAAUUAUUAAGUGCACCGCCUGGGGAGUACGGUCGCAAGGCUAAAACUCAAAGGAAUUGACGGGGGCUCACACAAGCGGUGGAGCAUGUUGCUUAAUUCGAAGCAACGCGAAGAACCUUACCUGGGCUUGACAUGCACGGAUUAACUCUUGGAAACAGGAGCCACGCCCGCAAGGGUGGAACGUGCACAGGUGCUGCAUGGCUGUCGUCAGCUCGUGCUGUGAAGUGUCGGGUUAAGUCCCUUAACGAGCGCAACCCCUGUCGCUAGUUGCCAGCGCGUAAUGGCGGGGACUCUAGCGAGACUGCCGGUGUCAAACCGGAGGAAGGUGGGGAUGACGUCAAGUCCUCAUGGCCCUUACGUCCAGGGAUGCAAACGUGCUACAAUGGGGCGCACAAAGCGAUGCGAGGCCGCGAGGCGGAGCAAAUCGCAAAAAACGCCCCCCAGUUCAGAUUGCAGUCUGCAAUUCGACUGCAUGAAGCCGGAAUCGCUAGUAAUCGCGGAUCAGCUACGCCGCGGUGAAUACGUUCCUGAGCCUUGUACACACCGCCCGUCAAGUCAUGGGAGCCGGGAGUGCCCGAAGUCGCCAUAGUUCAAUGGUGCCCACGGCAAGCUCGGUGACUGGGACUAAGUCGUAACAAGGGAACCGUAGGAGAACCUUUU
This 775-nucleotide ribosomal RNA is filed under the name uncultured Planctomycetota bacterium. Its description in RNAcentral is "bacterial SSU rRNA". It matches the Rfam family "Bacterial small subunit ribosomal RNA", at positions 740 to 1516 of the family's 1533-position model. The record is from RNAcentral. Lineage: Bacteria; Pseudomonadati; Planctomycetota.